RNAcentral lists this transfer RNA (73 nucleotides) under Candidatus Levyibacteriota bacterium. Its description in RNAcentral is "tRNA-Arg". It matches the Rfam family "tRNA". Rfam says of the family: Transfer RNA (tRNA) molecules are approximately 80 nucleotides in length. Their secondary structure includes four short double-helical elements and three loops (D, anti-codon, and T loops). The record is from RNAcentral. Lineage: Bacteria; Candidatus Levyibacteriota.
GCGCCUGUAGCUCAGUGGAUAGAGCAGGUCGGUUCUAACGACUCGGUCGGGGGUUCGAAUCCCUCCAGGCGUA